This 465-nucleotide ribosomal RNA is filed under the name uncultured bacterium. RNAcentral describes it as "partial 16S ribosomal RNA". It matches the Rfam family "Bacterial small subunit ribosomal RNA", at positions 28 to 507 of the family's 1533-position model. The record is from RNAcentral.
GACGAACGCUGGCGGCGUGCUUAACACAUGCAAGUCGAACGGAAAGGCCCCUUUGGGGGUACUCGAGUGGCGAACGGGUGCGUAACACGUGCGUAACCUGCCCUUGACUUCGGGAUAACUUCAGGAAACUGGGGCUAAUACCGGAUAGGAAUCCUUGCUGCAUGGUGGGGGUUGGAAAGCUUCGGCGGUUUUGGAUGGACUCGCGGCGUAUCAGCUUGUUGGUGGGGUAGUGGCUUACCAAGGCUUUGACGGGUAGCCGGCCUGAGAGGGCGACCGGCCACAUUGGGACUGAGAUACGGCCCAGACUCCUACGGGAGGCAGCAGUGGGGAAUAUUGCACAAUGGGCGGAAGCCGGAUGCAGCAACGCCGCGUGCGGGAUGACGGCCUUCGGGUUGUAAACCGCUUUCAGCAGGGGCGAAGCUUGUGGUGACGGUACCUGCAGAAGAAGCACCGGCUAACUACGUG